CUACGGGGAGACCAAUCAACCUCGAAAAGCAGUAACACCACAAAUGAGAACAAAUAAGUGCGAUGACAGUUAAAGAUGUAUUGCCUGUGUAUGACGGGCUCCAUGUUAUUAAAAGGACACCAUCUAGAUAUUUUUCAUUUCAUUCUAUCACCAACCACUUGCUGUUUGUAAUCACCAACUGAGAAGGAUUUAUACUGCAAAUGGCGUUUACUUGCCUUUCUGUAUUGGCUGGAACUUCCAUUAUAAUGUGGAAUAUAGUGUGAGACAAGUUCUCGCUAUGCUGGCCAGGCUGGUCUUGAACUCCUGGCCUCGAGGGAUCCUCCCACCUUGGCCUUCCAAAGAGCUGGGAUAACAGGUCUCACUAUGUUACCCAGGCUGGAAAGCAGCGGCUAUUCACAGGUGCAAUCAUCGCGCACUGCAGCCUCUAAUUCCUGGGCUCAAGCUAUCCUCCCGCCUCAGCCUCCUGAGUAGCUGGGACUACAGGCAUGCAUCACCAUGCCUGGUUCUGUCUCAGAUUUAAGAAAAUAUUCUAUUACAGCAUAUCUUUGAGUAAUCCUUUCAGAAAAGAUGUGCAGGUGGUAAACUGAUUGAAUCCUUCGCUGAAAAAUGACUAUUUGGUAUCUUCAAAAUUUUAAAGGUCAUUUCCUUUACCUUCUGGCUUCCAGAACUGAUAAGAGUACUGAUGUGAAAUUUGAUUCCAUUCUCAUUCUUGUCCAUUUUUAGGUAAACUGCUUUUUUCUCUGCUUUGGAAGAUAAUAGGAUAUUCUUCUCCUUAUCAAAAAUUCACCAGGACGUGAUCUUUUUCAUAGUUUUUCAUAUUCACCCUGUUUGGCCCUCUUAAUCUGAAGGCUUGCGUGUUUCUUUUGUUGGGGCACAUGUUCAUUCAUUCACUCAUUACGGGCAGGGAUACACUCUGUCGCCUAGGCUGGAGUGUAGUGGUGCAAUCAUAGCUCACUGGAGCCUUGAACUCCUGGGUUCCAGUGAUCCUCCCACUUCAGUCUCCCAAGUGGCUAGGAUGACAAGUGUGUGCCACCAUACCUGGCUAACCCUUUUUGAUUUUUGGUAGAGACAAGGUCUUGCUAUGUUACCCAGGCUGGUCUUGAAACUCCUGGGCUCAAACAAUUCUCCCGCUUUGGCCUCCCAACGUGCUAGGGUUAUGGAUGUAAGCCACCACAUCCAGCAGAAAAUGUUCCUCUAUAAUUUAUUUUCUAAAUUAUUUCUUCCCUUCAUUGUCUUUUCUUUCCUGCCAGAGCUCCUAUGAGAUGAACUGAUCCUUCUAACUUUCCUUAUUUUCUGUCUCUGCCUUUUUGCUUUGUAUUCUAGUUGAUUUCCUUGACCCUUUCUUCCAGAACACUCGAUCAGUAUUCAGCUGUGUCCAUUCCAUUAUUCACCUACUGAGUUAGCAACUAUCAUUACUAUGGGUCUCCUCUCCCCUGGGUGGGCUGACUAAAGUUUUAUUUUUUAUAAGUGGACGAGAUACUAACUGGUUAUGUGGACAUGAAGUUGGAGGCAGGCAGGUAGGAAAUGGCCUUUCCUCCCCACCAGCAAACGUGACACUGGCUUUACCCUGGUGGUGAGGAUCUGAGAAUAUUUUGGAUACUCUCUUGGAUAAAACUAUAUUUCAUCUCAUCUCUGACCAUCCUUGCUUCCUUCACACAAACUCAAACCCUGCUCUGUUCUUGUAGGUCCCCACAUCCACACCAAAACGUCUUUCCCAGGCAAGUGGCUCAUUCUCUUUACAGUUUUAUUCUUAAGUCUCAAAUUAAAUGUGUAUGUUGCCUGCUGUCAGGGGUAAGAUUGGGGAACUAAGGGGCUGGAAGCAGUUAAUUCCCUGAUGACUGUCUUAAGACCCCUACUCAUGCUGUGCUUGAUGUUCUGCCAGAUUGGUUCUUACCAUUAUGGUAGUUUUCCCCCACGAGUGUUUUACCCUGUGAUUUUUAUUUUCUCUGUUAUUGUUUAUCUGCUCCUAUUUGUUUUCUGUCAAUAAUGCCUCAUAAUUUCUGGUCAGCUAAUGGCAUCUGUUCUUAUAUUUUCAGUGUUCAUUCACUAUUAAAGAAUGUAUUUUCUUUUUAAUGGAUCUUUGGACAAAAACAUGUGCUCAGUUCUCUAACUAGCACUAAGCUGUGUGACUUCCCACACUGGUUAAUGCAUGCAUGCCUGUGGGGGAUGAGGAUCUGUUUAUGUACUGCACUAACUUUUAGACAGAUAUAUUUAUGUAUAUUGCGCACAUAUUUGAUCUCAAUAAAUUUAAUCAAGAACUUAAUUUGAUGACCAUUUAAAAUCCAAGCAAAAAAGAGGCAAAAAUGCUUAUCAGAUAUACAUAUAACUACAUGGCUUAAUUUAACAGUUCUGUCUAUAUCUAUUUAUCCAUAGAUACAAUUAUAAUGAUAUAGAAUUAAUCCAGAAGCUAAAGUAGGAUCAUUUUACUCUAUUCUUUUUAUUCUAACUAAUAAAAGAGUAUCUGACAGGCUUUUGGUCCAUGUUCCCAGCAUUUCUGAAGGCUUCUUAUCAAAUAUGCUGUUAUUACCCAUAAUUUUAUGUAUCGAUUUGUAUAAUGUAUUUCAAGGAAAAAAUUCAAUAUCAGCCAUUCUUGUUUCUUUUUUUCUUUUUAUUGAACUACCAAGACUAAUACAGCACAUCACUAAGCAAAAAGUGCUAUUUACUAUGCAAAAGGCACAGUCAGUGAUUGGCAUCUAAGACCAAUUGAUCUACCCAUUACCACUAUCUCCCUACCCCCACAAGCAUUACUAUGAAGCUAUUGAUUUAAACACUGUCGAUCGGUUUCCAUUUUCUGAUUUUGGGCAGGCCAAUCAAGAAAGUGAGUAAUUGUGAUUACACUGCUUCAGGAUCAAUUACAUUUGAUGCAAGACAAAGUGCUCUUUUUGGAACACACACACAAAAUUUUUGAUCUAGCAUGCUGUUGUGCUUAACAAAAUCUAAAAUAAAUAAUUUGUAUCUUUAUAAUAACAAAACAUACUAAUGUAAAUGCUUUUAAUAGUCAAGAACAUUUUCUAUGUGAAAUACAUGAAUUAUUUUCCUAAUGUUAGUUUGAAAGAAAUUUAGAAAAAAUAUUAUUCACAUACACUCCUUGGCAUAAGAUAAAAAUCAAAUACUACCUGCAUAUAUAUCCAUCCUUAAAGAGACUUAGUUAAUUAUGAAAGACAAAAUGCAAAUCCUGUUCAAGAGACUAUAAAGGAAGUCUUUGUAAAUAAAAUUGGGGAAAAAAAUCCAAUUACAUAGGAAUCAAAAGGUUCUUUAUACAAAUUGAUAAGAAAAAGGAAUCUUUUUUAGUUCUUAAUUUUGGUCUAACUUGGUACGUGAGCUUUGUCAUUGGGUUCACAUUGUCCAAAUCAUUAAAAUGAAUAUACCUCUGGUGUCAGAGGCAAAUCUAUUUAGAGUGAUGUUACUCAUAGCCUGUUGUUCAGUAAUAUUGAUCUGUGUUGUUUGUCUAAUAGAAAAAUAAUAAACAAUUACUAGGCAAUGUUGGGAAAAGUAAUCAGUUUUUAUAUAUCACUAAUACAGCAGACCUCCCAAAACAUAAAGGUGAUGAUCUGCAUAAAAUCAAUGUGUUAUGCUACAUUGCUUAUAUUUAUCAUUGCAGGUUCUCGGCAAUAAAAGGUAUAACAUUAGGCCAGAAUUACUGGUAAACUGAAAAGGUAUAUGAAAAUGAAAAGUUCACUAUGUUUAAUCUAUACAUUUAUUUUAAAAUGUCUAUUUCUAAAACUUCAAGACUUUUAAAUCAUAACAAAUUCUGUUCUAAGCUAGCUAAAAUGUAGGUAAAAUGUCUCAAUUCUUUUUAGAAUAAAAACAAAGAAACUUCAACUCAAAAUAGCCAAUUGGGCCUUAUAUCAGAAAAAGAAAAGAGUUCAAAGAUAAUUCUCAAUGAUGCAUGAAUACGGCUUUGUUCUAAUUUGCUAAUAGCCUCUGAAUUUCACAAGAAAUGUAUAAAGCAUUAUAGAAAAACAUUAACAACAAAAUCCAAUCCUAAAAAAGCUCUUCUGAACAGCAUUCAGCUAUGAAACCUUUGCCAACUGCAUAAAUGUUCUCUUUUGACUUUUAUCAAAGCAGUUUGUAAAUGGAUGUAAAAAGGAAAAAAAAAAUGUGUGAGUUUUAGGUACUGAUGGCAUCAAUAAUAUUCCACUUAAGAAUCUCAAGAUAACAUGUAUGUAUAUCUCAAAAGAUAUCUUCUCUGAGCUAUUUAAUAAUAUUAUUAAUGCUUUUAAUUUCUCCUGGAUUUUCCUCAUGAAUUUUCUCAUAAAUUUUCUAAAACUGGAGUGAUAAGUUAAAAAUUACUUAGUAGUAGCUUCUUUCUUUAACCAACAAACCAUGGAUUUCAAUCACAUAUGGCAGGUUGUAAUGGCUAGGUGUGUAACGAAUGCUAAAAAUACAUAUACUACACACAAUUUGUACAACUAUUCCAAGGCAGUCUAAACAUUAUCAAAGCAAAACAUAUUUGUUUAAAUGUUUUGUCUUUCACACACACACAAAAGCUGUUGAAAGCUUAGUUUUUGAUCUGCUAUCCUUUACAGGUUAUAUAAAAAAUAGAAGAACAAUUGAACUUACCACAACUGGAAACUGGCAGUCUGAGUAGAAUCACAAAAGUCAAUACCCAUUGAAACUGUAAUGGAUCCCUCAGGCUCAAGAGAGUCUAGGAAAUAAGAUAAUUUAGACAUGAAAACACAGAGGAUGUGAAAAAGAGGCAAACUAAACACUGAAAAUUUAGGUAAUGUUUGUAGCUUGGUUGAAACUGUGAAAUGUAAUGAUGGCUUAAAAAUUUCAAACUAAGAAUAUUAAAGCAAAUUACAAAGUA
Molecule: long non-coding RNA, 4810 nt
Filed under: Homo sapiens (human)
Lineage: Eukaryota; Metazoa; Chordata; Mammalia; Primates; Hominidae
Description: HSALNT0327521
Source: RNAcentral